GGGCUGAUGAGGUAAAAGAGGAUAAGAAAGAUGAUGGACGGGAUGAUGAUAAGAAAGUUGACGUGGUAGAAGAAAUAAAAGAAGAUAAGAAAGAUGAUGGGGUGGAAGAAGUAAAAGAGGAUAAGAAAGAUGAUGCGGUGGAAGAAGUGAGAGAGGAUAAGAAAGAUGAAGGGGUGAAAGAAGUAAAAGAGGAUAAGAAAGAUGAUGGGGUGGAAGAAAGAAAAGAGGAGAAGAAAGAUGACGCGGCUGAUGAAGUAAAAGAGGAGAAGAAAGAUGAUGGUGUGGAAGAAGUAAAAGAGGAGAAGAAAGAUGAUGAGGCUGAUGAAGUAAAAGAGGAGAAGAAAGAUGAUGGUGUGGAAGAAGUAAAAGAGGAUAAGGAAGUUGACGGGGGAGAAGUAAAGGUGGAAAAGAAAGAUAAUGAAAUUGAAGGGGGAGAAGUAAAAGAGGACAU
Molecule: long non-coding RNA, 451 nt
Filed under: Trifolium pratense (red clover)
Lineage: Eukaryota; Viridiplantae; Streptophyta; Magnoliopsida; Fabales; Fabaceae
Description: long non-coding RNA (TPRA_LNC001975)
Source: RNAcentral